UACGUAGGGUGCAAGCGUUGUCCGGAAUUAUUGGGCGUAAAGAGCUCGUAGGCGGUCUGUCGCGUCGGAUGUGAAAAUCCAGGGCUCAACCCUGGACCUGCAUUCGAUACGGGCAGGCUAGAGUUCGGCAGGGGAGACUGGAAUUCCUGGUGUAGCGGUGAAAUGCGCAGAUAUCAGGAGGAACACCGGUGGCGAAGGCGGGUCUCUGGGCCGAUACUGACGCUGAGGAGCGAAAGCGUGGGGAGCGAACAGG
RNAcentral lists this ribosomal RNA (253 nucleotides) under uncultured bacterium. Its description in RNAcentral is "partial 16S ribosomal RNA". It matches the Rfam family "Bacterial small subunit ribosomal RNA", at positions 524 to 776 of the family's 1533-position model. The record is from RNAcentral.